This 415-nucleotide unclassified non-coding RNA is filed under the name Hevea brasiliensis (rubber tree). The record is from RNAcentral. Lineage: Eukaryota; Viridiplantae; Streptophyta; Magnoliopsida; Malpighiales; Euphorbiaceae.
AUCACCCCUUUCAAAGCUGGAAUCGAAAAACAGUGCAUCUUGGGGGUUUUCUAGGCUGAGGCUCCUUGUCUGCAGAAUCCUCACUCCCAUCAAUAGAAUAAAUAGAAUGAUGAUCAGAUAAUUGGGCAGAAUCACCGAGACAACAGCCUAUACACACAUAUCGAGAACUCGCGGGCAAUGUACGAAUAAUGGAUGGACUGCCAAUCCAAGGGGGCAGUUUUCUUCUACGUCUGCAAUGUCCGCUCCCUCUACUCCAGACACAUAAUAAGCCAUCCACACAGGCACUUAUUAAGGCACCACAUGUACCGGAAAUUGAGUUUGCAGCACCAUUACUUGAAUAAUCUGUUUCUUUAACAUCACCUGAAACGACCACAGGAUAACAGAUGCUGAGAUCAGCUAUUGGCGCAGCAUGACC